RNAcentral lists this ribosomal RNA (221 nucleotides) under Mesorhizobium sp. RNAcentral's name for it is "partial 23S ribosomal RNA". It matches the Rfam family "Bacterial large subunit ribosomal RNA", at positions 215 to 485 of the family's 2925-position model. The record is from RNAcentral. Lineage: Bacteria; Pseudomonadati; Pseudomonadota; Alphaproteobacteria; Hyphomicrobiales; Phyllobacteriaceae.
GGAAAGGACAUCAACCGAGACUCCGGCAGUAGUGGCGAGCGAACCCGGACCAGGCCAGUGGCGAUGAUGAGACAAGCGGAACCUUCUGGAAAGUAGGGCCAUAGUGGGUGACAGCCCCGUACGCGUAAUGCAAAUCAUCGUCCUUGAGUAAGGCGGGACACGUGAAAUCCUGUCUGAAAUUGGGGGGACCACCCUCCAAGCCUAAGUACUCGUGCAUGACC